UGAUCCUGGCUCAGAACGUACGCUGGCGGCACGCCUAACACAUGCAAGUCGAACGAAGUAGCAAUACUUAGUGGCAGACGGGUGAGUAACAUGUAGGUAUCUGCCCUUUGGCCUGGAAUAACACGAGGAAACUUGUGCUAAUACCGGAUAAGUCUUUACGGAGAAAGCUUUAUGCACCAUUGGAUGAGCCUGCACUUGAUUAGUUUGUUGGUGGGGUAAUGGCCUACCAAGACUGUGAUCAAUAGCUGAUUUGAGAGGAUGAUCAGCCACAUUGGGACUGAGACACGGCCCAAACUCCUACGGGAGGCAGCAGUGGGGAAUCUUGCACAAUGGAGGAAACUCUGAUGCAGCGAUGCCGCGUGAGUGAAGAAGGCCCUUGGGUUGUAAAGCUCUUUCGUCGGGGAAGGAAAUGACUGUACCCGAAUAAGAAGGUCCGGCUAACUUCGUGCCAGCAGCCGCGGUAAUACGAAGGGACCUAGCGUAGUUCGGAAUUACUGGGCUUAAAGAGUUCGUAGGUGGUUGAAAAAGUUAGUGGUGAAAUCCCAGAGCUUAACUCUGGAACUGCCAUUAAAACUUUUCAGCUAGAGUAUGAUAGAGGAAAGCAGAAUUUCUAGUGUAGAGGUGAAAUUCGUAGAUAUUAGAAAGAAUACCAAUUGCGAAGGCAGCUUUCUGGAUCAUUACUGACACUGAGGAACGAAAGCAUGGGUAGCGAAGAGGAUUAGAUACCCUCGUAGU
RNAcentral lists this ribosomal RNA (735 nucleotides) under uncultured marine bacterium. RNAcentral's name for it is "bacterial SSU rRNA". It matches the Rfam family "Bacterial small subunit ribosomal RNA", at positions 14 to 794 of the family's 1533-position model. The record is from RNAcentral.